AAAAUCCCGACUUACGGAGGGAUGUAUUUAUUAGAUUAAAAACCAAUGCCCUUCGGGGCUCUCUGGUGAUUCAUAAUAACUUCUCGAAUCGCAUGGCCUUGAGCUGGCGAUGGUUCAUUCAAAUUUCUGCCCUAUCAACUUUCGAUGGCAGGGUCUUGGCCUGCCAUGGUUACAACGGGUAACGGAGGGUUAGGGCUCGACCCCGGAGAAGGAGCCUGAGAAACGGCUACUACAUCCAAGGAAGGCAGCAGGCGCGCAAAUUACCCAAUUCCGAUACGGAGAGGUAGUGACGAUAAAUACUGAUACAGGGCUCUUUUGGGUCUUGUAAUUGGAAUGAGUACAAUUUAAAUCCCUUAACGAGGAACAAUUGGAGGGCAAGUCUGGUGCCAGCAGCCGCGGUAAUUCCAGCUCCAAUAGCGUAUAUUAAAGUUGUUGCAGUUAAAAAGCUCGUAGUUGAACCUUGGGCCUGGCUGGCUGGUCCGCCUCACCGCGUGUACUGGUUCGGCCGGGCCUUUCCCUCUGGGGAACCUCAUGCCCUUCACUGGGUGUGCUGGGGAACCAGGACUUUUACUGUGAAAAAAUUAGAGUGUUCAAAGCAGGCCUAUGCUCGAAUACAUCAGCAUGGAAUAAUAGAAUAGGACGUGCGGUUCUAUUUUGUUGGUUUCUAGGACCGCCGUAAUGAUUAAUAGGGACAGUCGGGGGCAUCAGUAUUCAAUUGUCAGAGGUGAAAUUCUUGGAUUUAUUGAAGACUAACUACUGCGAAAGCAUUUGCCAAGGAUGUUUUCAUUAAUCAGGAACGAAAGUUAGGGGAUCGAAGACGAUCAGAUACCGUCGUAGUCUUAACCAUAAACUAUGCCGACUAGGGAUCGGACGAUGUUAUUUUUUGACUCGUUCGGCACCUUACGAGAAAUCAAAGUUUUUGGGUUCUGGGGGGAGUAUGGUCGCAAGGCUGAAACUUAAAGAAAUUGACGGAAGGGCACCACCAGGGGUUAACGCAGCUGUUACUACACGCAGUCUCUGCCCUGAAUAGUGAGUCGACUCUCUGUAGUCGACGCGGUGGUGCCCUAUAGCUCGCUAGUCGGUUACCCUGUGAUAGGGCCCGGCGACACCCUUAAAUUGCGGGGACCUCCUGUUAAAAGGGUCUGCUCCCAAGUACUGCCUAGAAAUAGAGCGUAUGGCGAAGCCUAACCAGCUUCGGUAGGGGAAGAACGCAGGCCCUGGGACGAUCCGCAGCCAAGCCUCCGUAGCCACGUGCCGGAGAAGGUUCAGAGACUUGAUAGGGGUGGGCUACGGGGGAGUACCGCUAUAACGGCAGUGCUCCUCGCAGCCUAAGAUAAAGUCCAUCGGCGUACGAAAGUACCGCCUAGCAACGCUCUAUAGGGAGCCUGCGGCUUAAUUUGACUCAACACGGGGAAACUCACCAGGUCCAGACACAAUGAGGAUUGACAGAUUGAGAGCUCUUUCUUGAUUUUGUGGGUGGUGGUGCAUGGCCGUUCUUAGUUGGUGG
Molecule: ribosomal RNA, 1507 nt
Filed under: fungal sp.
Lineage: Eukaryota; Fungi
Description: partial 18S ribosomal RNA
Rfam family: Eukaryotic small subunit ribosomal RNA
Source: RNAcentral